This 23-nucleotide non-coding RNA is filed under the name Arabidopsis thaliana (thale cress). The record is from RNAcentral. Lineage: Eukaryota; Viridiplantae; Streptophyta; Magnoliopsida; Brassicales; Brassicaceae.
CAUGCUUAAGUGUAAUGUACAUG